RNAcentral lists this transfer RNA (71 nucleotides) under Ovis aries (sheep). It matches the Rfam family "tRNA". Rfam says of the family: Transfer RNA (tRNA) molecules are approximately 80 nucleotides in length. Their secondary structure includes four short double-helical elements and three loops (D, anti-codon, and T loops). Lineage: Eukaryota; Metazoa; Chordata; Mammalia; Artiodactyla; Bovidae. The record is from Rfam by way of RNAcentral.
UCCUGAUGGCUUAGUCAGUAAAGAGUCUGCUUGCAAUGCAGGAGACUCGGGUUCAAUUCCUGGGUCAGGAA